Molecule: long non-coding RNA, 558 nt
Filed under: Mytilus galloprovincialis (Mediterranean mussel)
Lineage: Eukaryota; Metazoa; Mollusca; Bivalvia; Mytilida; Mytilidae
Source: RNAcentral
CGUACGGUGACCCUAUCUUUUCUUUUGAUAUUCUCAAAGCAGUGUCUGAAAGCUAUCUUUUCCUGAAGUGUUUAACAAUUCUAUCAUUUUGUUUAGUUUCUAAUCACAAAAUGGUGUUUUUUCCUGUAUAAUCCAUACAAAAUGUGUCAUUUUGUCCUGUCCUGAAGCUUGAGAAAAUGCGCGGUGACCUAUCAUUUUUAUUAUAUUUUUCAACAUGUAUCAAUAGAUACAACGUUUUGGCAAAGUAUGAACAAAUUCUAUCAUUUUUAUUUUAGACUCCCAUAUACCACCUUAAUCAGGUUGAAGUUAGAAACUAGUGUUGUCAACGAUUAACCGGUUAACCGGUUAACCGGUCGAACGAUCGAAUACCGAAUACCAAAAACGCUAACCACUUUACCGGACUUUUUUUCAAUUUUGAUAGAUUUGAUAUAAAUUUGUAUUGAAAUCAAUAAAUAGUUAUGUUUUAUUUAAAAAAUGUCGUCGUGGUAAUUAAUUUGACAGAUCAAUUGUCCAGUAUAUUGAUUGCUAUUGUUAAUCCUAAAAACAUAAAAUUAAUUA